CCUCUCUAUGAUAGAAACCGAGAAGGUCGGUCUGUCGGUACUUGAGCCGCGCGAUGAGAGCUGGAGUGUUCCGGUUCCUGCCUGAUGCACGAGGCGAGGGUGGCUAUGUUGGAGACUGGCGCCUAAAGGAAGUCCCUUUCAUCAGAUGCUGAAAAUGGAGUCUAAAAUCAUGUUUAUAUCUAGUGGCUUCAGAAGGCUGGACUGUCUCAAUCAUUUCAACCAGCAAGGUUUCAUUUUGUGUUUGUUGAAAACCAUCAAGGUGCCUUUUUGUGCCCUAAGGUAGAGAAAACGUGAAUAUAUUCAUUGUGCGCCUAGCAGACAUCUGACUGUCAUGUUCUUCUUGCUUACAGCAGUGAAAGGCAUACUUGGGAGUGUGAGGGUGGUAAAAAGACACCUGACCAGAACCAUUGCUGCACUCUGAGUGAACUUAAUUUGGGCCUUUCAAAAUAUGCUUGUGGUGGCUGGAGAGAGUUUCUAGAGUAGGAUAUUGAGAGAGCCCUUCAAUUCAAGCAUUGUCUAUCCUAAAGGGAUAUUUUUCUACAUGUCAAUUUCCCCCAGAUUCAUGAAAAACUUCGCACUAUUUUAAACACAUUCAUAGUCUAAUUUCAGCUUGCUUUUGCAUCUUGGGGGAAUGUGGGAAUAUGUUGUUUGUGUUUUUAAUUAAAUGAUUUUAACAUUAUUUAUUAGUUACAUGUUUCUUAUCUUCACCACCUUGUGGACCUUGGUAGGGUGGAAAGGUGGCAUAAGAAUGUCUGAAAUAAGUGCCCCCUCCUAUUUUCCAAAUACUGAUUUCAGGCCAUUGGUUAUAUUUUUGUUAAAUUGUGAUGUAGAGGGACUUGUAUGAUUUGCAAUAGCUGAAGAUGCUGCAUUUUCUUAUCUGUUAAAUGGAAUUACUGAUAAAAACAUACAUUUUUGAAUGAUGCUUUUGUUCUCAUGCUGAAAAUGAAGUACUUAAGAUGAAAUACUGUUACUAGAAUAAAAUAUUAGCCUUCUUUCAAA
Molecule: long non-coding RNA, 999 nt
Organism: Heteronotia binoei (common prickly gecko)
Lineage: Eukaryota; Metazoa; Chordata; Lepidosauria; Squamata; Gekkonidae
Exons: 5
Source: RefSeq, a predicted model, not a curated record